GAUGAACGCUGGCGGCGUGCCUAAUACAUGCAAGUCGAGCGAACGGACGAGAAGCUUGCUUCUCUGAUGUUAGCGGCGGACGGGUGAGUAACACGUGGAAAACCUACCUAUAAUACUGGGAUAACUUCGGGAAACCGGAGCUAAUACCGGAUAAUAUUUUGAACCGCAUGGUUCAAAAGUGAAAGACGGUCUUGCUGUCACUUAUAGAUGGAUCUGCGCUUCAUUAGCUAGUUGGUAAGGUAACGGCUUACCAAGGCAACGAUGCAUAGCCGACCUGAGAGGGGGAUCGGCCACACUGGAACUGGGACACGGUCCAGACGCCUACGGGAGGCAGCAGUAUGGAAUCUUCCGCAAAGGGCGAAAGCCUGACGGAGCAACGCCGCGUGAGUGAUGAAGGUCUUCGGAUCGUAAAACUCUGUUAUUAGGGAAGAACAUAUGUGUAAGUAACUGUGCACAUCUUGACGGUACCUAAUCAGAAAGCCACGGCUAACUACGUG
This 497-nucleotide ribosomal RNA is filed under the name uncultured bacterium. Its description in RNAcentral is "partial 16S ribosomal RNA". It matches the Rfam family "Bacterial small subunit ribosomal RNA", at positions 28 to 507 of the family's 1533-position model. The record is from RNAcentral.